This 23-nucleotide ribosomal RNA is filed under the name Zehneria sp. 1 HS-2018. RNAcentral's name for it is "partial 28S ribosomal RNA". Lineage: Eukaryota; Viridiplantae; Streptophyta; Magnoliopsida; Cucurbitales; Cucurbitaceae. The record is from RNAcentral.
CGACCCCAGGUCAGGCGGGACUA